RNAcentral lists this ribosomal RNA (849 nucleotides) under Triticum aestivum (bread wheat). Its description in RNAcentral is "partial small subunit ribosomal RNA". The record is from RNAcentral. Lineage: Eukaryota; Viridiplantae; Streptophyta; Magnoliopsida; Poales; Poaceae.
AUGUUGCGGACCUUUUCUGAUUGCAUGGCACAGAAGCAUCCGAUAUCUGUGAUCACAGAUGGGGACCUUGCAAUGCAGAGAGCAAUCAGGGUGGUCUGGCCAGACUCAAACCAUAGACUAUGUAUAUGGCACAUUCAGCAGAACAUUGUACGCCAUCUGCAUGAUGAUGACGUAAAGGAGGAAUUCAGAUCUUUCAUUUAUCAUACUUCUUUCAUUGAAGAGCAUGAGAUAAAAUGGAUACAAUUCUUACAACGGAAUAAAGUAACCAGUGAGGAGUCUUGGCUGCAUCAGAUGUAUCAGAUGAGAAAGUUGUGGUGUGCUCCAUAUCUUGAGGGGCGUUGUUUCCUAGGAUUGAGCAGCAAUCAGAGGAGUGAGAGCUUGAACUCUGUGCUACAUACGCAUCUUGAGGGUAAGAUGUCGUUGUUUGAAAUGCUAGAGCACUAUGAGCGUUGCCUUGCAUCGCGACGGAUUAACGAAGCUCUCCAAGACGUCGAAGCCUUGCAGUCCGUUCCAUUUACAGAGGAAAAUGCUUCGCCGCUUGAGAAACACGCCGCAACAGUUUUCACACCUAGUGUCUUUAAGAUGGUCUUAUGGAGCAUAGAUGCUGUCAGCAAAUGUCAGAUGAGAGAGAUACUAGAUGGAUCAGAAGAUUCCACUUAUGUUGUGUCCAAGCAGGAAAGAAUGGAUAAAAAGUUUGGAGUGCGCAUUGAAGAGCAAGGAGGUCUUUUGCACAGGGUGAGUUGUUCUUGCCGUAAGCUGGAAUGCGCAGGCACACCAUGUUCCCACAUUUUCUUACAUAUUGGGGAUUUUAAAACAAACAAUUAUGCCCAGUUGUUGCGUUCCCACUAG